RNAcentral lists this ribosomal RNA (476 nucleotides) under uncultured bacterium. Its description in RNAcentral is "SSU rRNA". It matches the Rfam family "Bacterial small subunit ribosomal RNA", at positions 26 to 518 of the family's 1533-position model. The record is from RNAcentral.
AGGACGAACGCUGGCGGCGUGCUUAACACAUGCAAGUCGAACGGAAAGGCCCUUUCGGGGGUACUCGAGUGGCGAACGGGUGAGUAACACGUGGGUGAUCUGCCCUGCACUUCGGGAUAAGCUUGGGAAACUGGGUCUAAUACCGGAUAGGACUACGGACUUCAUGGUUUGUGGUGGAAAGCUUUUGCGGUGUGGGAUGGGCCCGCGGCCUAUCAGCUUGUUGGUGGGGUGAUGGCCUACCAAGGCGACGACGGGUAGCCGGCCUGAGAGGGUGUCCGGCCACACUGGGACUGAGAUACGGCCCAGACUCCUACGGGAGGCAGCAGUGGGGAAUAUUGCACAAUGGGCGCAAGCCUGAUGCAGCGACGCCGCGUGGGGGAUGACGGCCUUCGGGUUGUAAACCUCUUUCAGCAGGACGAAGCGAAAGUGACGGUACCUGCAGAAGAAGCGCCGGCUAACUACGUGCCAGCAGCCGC